UACAGAGGGUGCGAGCGUUAAUCGGAAUUACUGGGCGUAAAGCGUGCGUAGACGGUCAUGUAAGUCGGAUGUGAAAGCCCCGGGCUCAACCUGGGAAUUGCAUUCGAGACUGCAAGGCUUGGGUGCGGAAGAGGGAAGCGGAAUUUCCGGUGUAGCGGUGAAAUGCGUAGAUAUCGGGAAGGAACACCAGUGGCGAAGGCGGCCUU
RNAcentral lists this ribosomal RNA (206 nucleotides) under uncultured bacterium. RNAcentral describes it as "partial 16S ribosomal RNA". It matches the Rfam family "Bacterial small subunit ribosomal RNA", at positions 524 to 728 of the family's 1533-position model. The record is from RNAcentral.